GGACAUAUUCCUAUGAGUUUAUAUAUCACGUAUUGAUAUAGCAAAAAAGAGUAUCAGUUGACAUUUAAGAUUUAAUAAGGCCUCGUGGAAGAGACGAUCACCAAUUUAAUUUUCCAGCCUUCUCCAAACAAUAUCAGAACAGGUCAAAUUUUCCCUCUGAAACAAACGUAAUAUAACCAACUGGACCCAGAAGGAACUCUAACAAAUCUUUUGCUUUUUUCCUUUAAAAGAAAAAAGGCAGACUUCCAGGCAUUCCAGUUUGAUAAAGUGAGAUUGGAAUACCCCACAAAUGAAACAGCUUCUUUGAACCUGAAAUCGUUCCAACAGAAAACAAAUUCUGAAAGAACAAAUCAUCAUGUUCUGAGGAAGCAAGAAGAACCCAUCGGUGAAUGCUUUUACUUAAUGAGACUGAAUCUAAUGUACUCAAAUUUCCUAAGAUCCCCUUGAAAUCUCACUGACAUUCCCAAUAAAAAUCCAGAAGCUGACUCUGAAAAGCCCCAUUCAGCUACUUGCUACUUCACCUUCAAAAGCAGAUGCAAAAGAGACAAAUCCAACUCAAAGUGACAGCCGAUUCCAAAAAGAAAACGACAUAUAUAAAUCAACGGCCAAAAGGGUUUGGAAAAAAG
Molecule: long non-coding RNA, 626 nt
Filed under: Cucumis sativus (cucumber)
Lineage: Eukaryota; Viridiplantae; Streptophyta; Magnoliopsida; Cucurbitales; Cucurbitaceae
Description: long non-coding RNA (CSAT_LNC001702)
Source: RNAcentral